UACAGAGGGGGCAAGCGUUGUUCGGAAUCACUGGGCUUAAAGGGUUCGUAGGCGGCUCGUUAGGUAGGGUGUGAAAGCCCCCGGCUCAACCGGGGAAUUGCGCCCUAAACCGGCGGGCUGGAGUGAGAUAGGGGUGUGUGGAACUUCCGGUGGAGCGGUGAAAUGUGUUGAUAUCGGAAGGAACGCCGGUGGCGAAAGCGACACACUGGGUCUCAACUGACGCUGAGGCACGAAAGCCAGGGGAGCAAACGGG
Molecule: ribosomal RNA, 253 nt
Filed under: uncultured bacterium
Lineage: Bacteria
Description: partial 16S ribosomal RNA
Rfam family: Bacterial small subunit ribosomal RNA
Source: RNAcentral